GAUGAACGCUGGCGGCGUGCCUAAUACAUGCAAGUCGAGCGAACAGACGAGGAGCUUGCUCCUCUGACGUUAGCGGCGGACGGGUGAGUAACACGUGGAUAACCUACCUAUAAGACUGGGAUAACUUCGGGAAACCGGAGCUAAUACCGGAUAAUAUAUUGAACCGCAUGGUUCAAUAGUGAAAGACGGUUUUGCUGUCACUUAUAGAUGGAUCCGCGCCGCAUUAGCUAGUUGGUAAGGUAACGGCUUACCAAGGCGACGAUGCGUAGCCGACCUGAGAGAGUGAUCGGCCACACUGGAACUGAGACACGGUCCAGACUCCUACGGGAGGCAGCAGUAGGGAAUCUGCCGCAAUGGGCGAAAGCCUGACGGAGCAACGCCGCGUGAGUGAUGAAGGUCUUCGGAUCGUAAAACGCUGUUAUUAGGGAAGAACAAAUGUGUAAGUAACUAUGCACGGCUUGACGGUACCUAAUCAGAAAGCCACGGCUAACUACGUG
This 497-nucleotide ribosomal RNA is filed under the name uncultured bacterium. RNAcentral describes it as "partial 16S ribosomal RNA". It matches the Rfam family "Bacterial small subunit ribosomal RNA", at positions 28 to 507 of the family's 1533-position model. The record is from RNAcentral.